UCACCCAGGGGCGGCGGGGGCGCUGCCUUGCCCGCUUGUGCGCCGGGGCUCAGUGCGGGCUAUGGGGAGCUACUUAGCGCCAACACCGCCCCCUGCACGAUUAGGGUGAGGAUGACGGCGGCAGGCUUGUUGCGUAACACGGCUGCGAAACCGGGCUCUCGAAGUCCUCGUCCCCACCCCCAGCCUGGCCACGUGGAGCUGUGGCUGCGGAGCGCGGCUUUUCUGGGGUCUGGAGAGCACCGCGUCAGGUCGGCCAAUGGGUAGGACACCCUAGCUCGGGAGUGUCGUUUCUGCCCCAGUCACGGCCCCUCACCCUUCCAGGGCCAUCGAAGAGACAUUUAAAAAGACAGGAGCGAGGCCACUGGGCCUCGAAUCCUUGUCGUAACUCCGGGGCUGUGAAGGCACGUGGAGUCUACACCUCGCCUUUACAGAGGGGCAGGGCCGGCCUUGGCGCAGAAGCAGAGUUGGCGGUGACCACGGACGAGGUUUCCCAGAAAUUUCUUUGGAUUCCUUUAUUCUACCAAACCCGGACUUCCUCUCUUGCCUUGCUACAUCCCUACCCCAGCCACAACUUAGAUAAGAAUUUUGGAAAUUUUAGCUGUCUUCCAGCCUCUACCCCACAGUCCCCUGGCUUCUGCCCCAGGAGUUCCAGCAGGAGUUUCAUUAGCAUGCUUGGCCUUAUUCUCCCAAAACCAUUAUUUUUUGUG
RNAcentral lists this long non-coding RNA (707 nucleotides) under Fukomys damarensis (Damara mole-rat). RNAcentral describes it as "lncRNA (ENSFDAG00000025277.1)". The record is from RNAcentral. Lineage: Eukaryota; Metazoa; Chordata; Mammalia; Rodentia; Bathyergidae.